CGAUGAAAGCGAACAGCUUCCAGCACGAAACCAGCACCGCCCGGAUGGCUUCCGGCAUGACGUCGCGUGCCCGCCGACCGGAAUCCCACAUAUUCGCUGGGUAAGCCGGAGCUUCGUGCUGUCUG
Non-coding RNA from Stenotrophomonas sp. Leaf70, 125 nucleotides. Lineage: Bacteria; Pseudomonadati; Pseudomonadota; Gammaproteobacteria; Lysobacterales; Lysobacteraceae. The record is from Rfam.